UACGUAGGUGGCAAGCGUUGUCCGGAUUUACUGGGCGUAAAGAGCGCGCAGGCGGUCGAAUAAGUCGAAUGUGAAAGCCCCCGGCUUAACUGGGGAGGGUCAUUCGAUACUGCUCGACUUGAAGGAGGAGAGGGUAGUGGAAUUCCCGGUGUAGUGGUGAAAUGCGUAGAUAUCGGGAGGAACACCAGUGGCGAAGGCGACUACCUGGCCUGUUCUUGACGCUGAGGCGCGAAAGCUGGGGGAGCAAACGGG
This 252-nucleotide ribosomal RNA is filed under the name uncultured bacterium. RNAcentral's name for it is "partial 16S ribosomal RNA". It matches the Rfam family "Bacterial small subunit ribosomal RNA", at positions 524 to 776 of the family's 1533-position model. The record is from RNAcentral.